AUUGUUAGUGGCAGACGGGUGAGUAAUGCGUAGGAAUCUACCUAGUAGUAUGGAAUAGCCAUUAGAAAUGAUGGGUAAUACUGUAUAAUCCCUGCGGGGGAAAGAUUUAUCGCUAUUAGAUGAGCCUACGUUAGAUUAGCUAGUUGGUAAGGUAAUGGCUUACCAAGGCUAUGAUCUAUAGCUGGUCUGAGAGGACGAUCAGCCACACUGGAACUGAGAUACGGUCCAGACUCCUACGGGAGGCAGCAGUGGGGAAUAUUGGACAAUGGGCGAAAGCCUGAUCCAGCUAUGCCGCGUGAGUGAAGAAGGCCUUCGGGUUA
RNAcentral lists this ribosomal RNA (320 nucleotides) under Ehrlichia chaffeensis. Its description in RNAcentral is "bacterial SSU rRNA". It matches the Rfam family "Bacterial small subunit ribosomal RNA", at positions 88 to 425 of the family's 1533-position model. The record is from RNAcentral. Lineage: Bacteria; Pseudomonadati; Pseudomonadota; Alphaproteobacteria; Rickettsiales; Anaplasmataceae.